RNAcentral lists this ribosomal RNA (253 nucleotides) under uncultured bacterium. RNAcentral describes it as "partial 16S ribosomal RNA". It matches the Rfam family "Bacterial small subunit ribosomal RNA", at positions 524 to 776 of the family's 1533-position model. The record is from RNAcentral.
UACGGAGGGUGCGAGCGUUAAUCGGAAUUACUGGGCGUAAAGGGCGCGUAGGUUGUUGUUUAAGUGGGAUGUGAAAUCCCCGGGCUUAACCUGGGAACUGCAUUUCAAACUGAACAACUAGAGUGCAGUAGAGGGAAGUGGAAUUUCCGGUGUAGCGGUGAAAUGCGUAGAGAUCGGAAGGAACACCAGUGGCGAAGGCGACUUCCUGGACUGACACUGACACUGAGGCGCGAAAGCGUGGGUAGCGAACAGG